This is a long non-coding RNA of Pundamilia nyererei, 513 nucleotides long. RefSeq lists it as uncharacterized. Lineage: Eukaryota; Metazoa; Chordata; Actinopteri; Cichliformes; Cichlidae. The transcript is spliced from 3 exons. The record is from RefSeq and is a predicted model, not a curated record.
CCUUUUCUGGCAGAAGAAGUCUGUCUUCACACAGCCCUGCUUUCCCAUCAUCAGCAGCAGGGUUGUAAGGAAUGCCAACAUCACCCUGGGCGUGAUCUUUGGUCUCUUUGUUCUAACACUCUUCAGCAUGGUGCUGUCAUCACUGCUGAUCUAUCAGAUGUAUAACACGAGCAUCAGGUUGAACUGCCAGUGGAUGGACCAGCCACCUGCCUACGAGCUGCUGGACGACACGCCAGAGAAGACGCCUUCAGCCUCAAACCCUCCUCACAACUUUCAGUUAUAGAGCUGGUGUUAGUCUAAACCACCUAUACUAAAUCAAUCAAUUAAUCUAAUGGGACAUGACCUGAUAAAGACAGAGGGAAUGGACACAGGCUACAUAUACACUGGGGAUAGAAGGGUAAUAUAUCAUAUAUCAGUAAUAUCAUAUCUGUGGAAUAAAAAAAUGAAUAAAAAAGGAACCUUCAGAUGUUGUUUGGUGACAGAAAAUAUAUAUAUAUAUGAUUAAAUAUCAGA